GAUGAAGAACGCAGCGAAAUGCGAUACUUGGUGUGAAUUGCAGAAUCCCGUGAACCAUCGAGUCUUUGAACGCAAGUUGCGCCUGAAGCCAUUAGGCCGAGGGCACGCCUGCCUGGGCGUCACACGUCGUUGCCCCCCCAUCUACUCCUUCGGGAUUGCGGGGGGCGGAUGAUGGCCUCCCGUGCGCCUCGUCGCGCGGUUGGCAUAAAUGCCAAGUCCUCGGCGACGCACGCCACGACAAUCGGUGGUUGCGAAACCUCGGUUGCCCGUCGUGUGCGGUCGUCGCGCAUCGAGGGCUCGAAAAAAUUGCCGGGCUCCGGCUCGGCUUUCAACGCGACCCCAGGUCAGGCGGGGUUACCCGCUGAAUUUAAGCAUAUCAAUAAGCGGAGGA
This 391-nucleotide unclassified non-coding RNA is filed under the name soil metagenome. RNAcentral's name for it is "partial contains 5.8S ribosomal RNA, internal transcribed spacer 2, and large subunit ribosomal RNA". The stretch from base 1 to 122 matches the Rfam family "5.8S ribosomal RNA", at positions 35 to 154 of the family's 154-position model. The record is from RNAcentral.